RNAcentral lists this unclassified non-coding RNA (429 nucleotides) under Diplacus douglasii. RNAcentral's name for it is "partial external transcribed spacer". Lineage: Eukaryota; Viridiplantae; Streptophyta; Magnoliopsida; Lamiales; Phrymaceae. The record is from RNAcentral.
CNUGGUGAGUGUGNGCGUGUCGGAUCCCUGCUUCGGCAGUGACGACGUGCCGUGCGUGCCUCCUCAGUCGGUGUCGGUUCAAGAGCGUGNUCACCUUGGCCCGUGUUGGUUUUCUGUAUUUCAUACCGGUCGUAAAGGCGCNCGGUGUCCCAAAUGUCCCUCUUCCGUCGUGCGUUGUGUCCCCUNNUGGUGGCGGUGUGGUGCGGACCGCGAAGACCCGCUGAGUCCGUGCACAAUGCCUGAAACAGCGCCCGCGCGUNGGACCCCGANGUGCUCAAUCGCUCGGAUGCGGAAUAUCUCGUGGGCAUGUGGCCGUCAGUCGNUAUNUGCCCUCAAACAAGCAUUUUACUNNUCGUGCGAGCGAAUUCCUUGCCCUUNUCCGUCGAGCCCAUGCGGNUCGNUCCGUGCGGCUGCGGCGUUANUGUGNAA